RNAcentral lists this unclassified non-coding RNA (187 nucleotides) under uncultured fungus. RNAcentral describes it as "partial contains 5.8S ribosomal RNA, internal transcribed spacer 2, and large subunit ribosomal RNA". Lineage: Eukaryota; Fungi. The record is from RNAcentral.
AAGGAUCAUUACAGAGUUCAUGCCCGAAAGGGUAGACCUCCCACCCUUGUGUAUUAUUACUUUGUUGCUUUGGCGAGCUGCCUUCGGGCCUUGUAUGCUCGCCAGAGAAAACCAAAACUCUUUUUAUUAAUGUCGUCUGAGUACUAUAUAAUAGUUAAAACUUUCAACAACGGAUCUCUUGGUUCUG